GACGAACGCUGGCGGCGUGCUUAACACAUGCAAGUCGAACGGAAAGGCCCUGCUUUUGUGGGGUGCUCGAGUGGCGAACGGGUGAGUAACACGUGAGUAACCUGCCCUUGACUUUGGGAUAACUUCAGGAAACUGGGGCUAAUACCGGAUAGGAGCUCCUGCUGCAUGGUGGGGGUUGGAAAGUUUCGGCGGUUGGGGAUGGACUCGCGGCUUAUCAGCUUGUUGGUGGGGUAGUGGCUUACCCAGGCUUUGACGGGUAGCCGGCCUGAGAGGGUGACCGGCGACAUUGGGACUGAGGUACGGCCCAGACUCCUACGGGAGGCAGCAGUGGGGAAUAUUGCACAAUGGGCGGAAGCCUGAUGCAGCAACGCCGCGUGCGGGAUGACGGCCUUCGGGUUGUAAACCGCUUUCGCCUGUGACGAAGCGUGAGUGACGGUAAUGGGUAAAGAAGCACCGGCUAACUACGUG
RNAcentral lists this ribosomal RNA (468 nucleotides) under uncultured bacterium. RNAcentral's name for it is "partial 16S ribosomal RNA". It matches the Rfam family "Bacterial small subunit ribosomal RNA", at positions 28 to 507 of the family's 1533-position model. The record is from RNAcentral.